RNAcentral lists this ribosomal RNA (497 nucleotides) under uncultured bacterium. RNAcentral describes it as "partial 16S ribosomal RNA". It matches the Rfam family "Bacterial small subunit ribosomal RNA", at positions 28 to 507 of the family's 1533-position model. The record is from RNAcentral.
GACGAACGCUGGCGGCGUGCCUAAUACAUGCAAGUUGAGCGCUGAAGGUUGGUACUUGUACCAACUGGAUGAGCAGCGAACGGGUGAGUAACGCGUGGGGAAUCUGCCUUUGAGCGGGGGACAACAUUUGGAAACGAAUGCUAAUACCGCAUAAAAACUUUAAACACAAGUUUUAAGUUUGAAAGAUGCAAUUGCAUCACUCAAAGAUGAUCCCGCGUUGUAUUAGCUAGUUGGUGAGGUAAAGGCUCACCAAGGCGAUGAUACAUAGCCGACCUGAGAGGGUGGUCGGCCACAUUGGGACUGGGACACGGCCCAAACUCCUACGGGAGGCAGCAGUAGGGAAUCUUCGGCAAUGGACGAAAGUCUGACCGAGCAAAGCCGCGUGAGGGAAGAAGGUUUUCGGGUCGUAAAACUCUGUUGGUAGAGAAGAACGUUGGUGAGAGUGGAAAGCUCAUCAAGUGACGGUAACUACCCAGAAAGGGACGGCUAACUACGUG